RNAcentral lists this transfer RNA (75 nucleotides) under Nocardioides jejuensis. RNAcentral describes it as "Nocardioides sp. 18JY15-6 tRNA-Val". It matches the Rfam family "tRNA". From Rfam's summary of the family: Transfer RNA (tRNA) molecules are approximately 80 nucleotides in length. Lineage: Bacteria; Bacillati; Actinomycetota; Actinomycetes; Propionibacteriales; Nocardioidaceae. The record is from RNAcentral.
GGGCGUGUAGCUCAGCGGUAGAGCACUUGGUUUACACCCAUGUGGUCGGGGGUUCGAUCCCCUCCGCGCCCACCA